GGGGGCGAAUGGCUUUCGACGGGGUUGUCACCGUUCGGAUUGCGUGCCCGGGAACCCAUCUACCCGGAUAAACUGGUGGGGAAUUACAAACGCCAACGACAACGCGUUUGCCCUCGCAGCCUAAGAAACUGUGAGGUGGUCGGUACGGGGCUUGCUCACGGCGCCGGAACGAUCAUCAUCCAAUGUGAGCUGUGCUGAGUCGGAGUCCCGACGACAAGGCGAGAUAAAGGGAACCGGCCCGUCGCAUCCUGCCCGUGGGAGUCGACGAAGCCUAAAUAAAUCACGGAAACUACGCACGUAGACGUCCGCGCGGAGCAGUUUCGGACCGGGGUUCGAAUCCCCGCGCCUCCACUU
RNAcentral lists this transfer-messenger RNA (354 nucleotides) under Deltaproteobacteria bacterium. It matches the Rfam family "transfer-messenger RNA". Rfam says of the family: Bacterial tmRNA, also known as 10Sa RNA or SsrA, is named for its dual tRNA and mRNA-like properties. The record is from RNAcentral. RNAcentral also lists the same sequence under 1 other name. Lineage: Bacteria; Pseudomonadati; Myxococcota; Myxococcia.